Molecule: ribosomal RNA, 454 nt
Filed under: uncultured bacterium
Lineage: Bacteria
Description: bacterial SSU rRNA
Rfam family: Bacterial small subunit ribosomal RNA
Source: RNAcentral
UACGGGAGGCAGCAGUGGGGAAUAUUGCACAAUGGGCGCAAGCCUGAUGCAGCCAUGCCGCGUGUAUGAAAAAGGCCUUCGGGUUGUAAAGUACUUUCAGUCGUGAGGAAGGUGUUAAGGUUAAUAACCUUAGCAAUUGACGUUAGCGACAGAAGAAGCACCGGCUAACUCCGUGCCAGCAGCCGCGGUAAUACGGAGGGUGCGAGCGUUAAUCGGAAUUACUGGGCGUAAAGGGCACGCAGGCGGUUAAUUAAGUUGGAUGUGAAAUCCCCGGGCUUAACCUGGGAAUGGCAUUCAAGACUGGUUAGCUAGAGUCUUGUAGAGGGGGUAGAAUUCCAUGUGUAGCGGUGAAAUGCGUAGAGAUGUGGAGGAAUACCGGUGGCGAAGGGCGGCCCCUGGACAAAGACUGACGCUCAUGUGCGAAAGCGUGGGGAGCAAACAGGGAUUAGAUACC